RNAcentral lists this ribosomal RNA (252 nucleotides) under uncultured bacterium. RNAcentral describes it as "partial 16S ribosomal RNA". It matches the Rfam family "Bacterial small subunit ribosomal RNA", at positions 524 to 776 of the family's 1533-position model. The record is from RNAcentral.
UACAGAGGGUGCAAGCGUUAAUCGGAAUUACUGGGCGUAAAGCGCGCGUAGGUGGUUUGUUAAGUUGGAUGUGAAAUCCCGGGCUCAACCUGGGAACUGCAUUCAAAACUGGCAAGCUAGAGUAUGGUAGAGGGUGGUGGAAUUUCCUGUGUAGCGGUGAAAUGCGUAGAUAUAGGAAUGAACACCAGUGGCGAAGGCGACCACCUGGACUGAUACUGACACUGAGGUGCGAAAGCGUGGGGAGCAAACAGG